RNAcentral lists this non-coding RNA (134 nucleotides) under Fragilariopsis kerguelensis. The record is from RNAcentral. Lineage: Eukaryota; Bacillariophyta; Bacillariophyceae; Bacillariales; Bacillariaceae.
UAUAAGUACGAGGCAUUUGUCUGAGACAUACACACAAACAACAAACAGAGAACACAAAAAUGGAAACAUAUAUAAAUAACACGUAUAUCAAAAGUUGUCUCACUAAAUUCUUUUCUAUUUUGUUAUAUUCUUCU